Rhineura floridana is the source of this 541-nucleotide long non-coding RNA. RefSeq lists it as uncharacterized. The transcript has 3 exons. NCBI's taxonomy places the organism in Eukaryota, Metazoa, Chordata, Lepidosauria, Squamata, Rhineuridae. The record is from RefSeq and is a predicted model, not a curated record.
CUUGUACAGCAGGCUGAGCAGGGGCACAAAUCCAGUCACAACUCUCCCCCUCUAUAGUAAAAGCUACAUUGGAUGCCUUGGGAGUGCAGUACUUGCUGUGUGCUUUCAAAAUGGGUCCAGAAGGAAUGUCAUUGGAAAUGAGGCCAUAAUGAAUAAACCUUGCCAAAAGCAACAAUGCGGGACUGAAAGAAGAAUGACAAGAACGAGCGGAGCCUGAAAGGAUCUGCAGGAAGAACUGAGCUGUCAUAACUGAUGAUAUAGUUCACAGUUUCCUAUUCUCUGGCUUGGCAGCAUGAUGAGGCUUAAAUCAGAGCUCAACAUCAUUUCGCUAAUGGAGCUGUAAUAUCCCUCAGCUCAAAGAUCUAGCUGUGUUCCAACAUUAACAAUAAGAACAUAAGGGCUGCCUUGCUGGAUCAGGCCAAGGUCCAUUUAGCAUUUAGUCCAGAAUUCUUUUCCCCCACAGCAACUGGCCGGAAGCCUAAAGAAAUGUAAAUGCAGAGCAUGCAAAUAACUAUCCCUGGUACAUAUUUUUCCCUGGAAU